AUGAAAACAGUGAAACAUUUGAUGAAACAUUUGUUGAAACAUUUGUUGAAAUAUUUAUGAAAUGUGUGUGUGUGUGUGUGUUUUCUCCCUCAGGGACAUGCUGAUCUCAGAUCUGGAGGCCAGUAUGACGUACCCUGAGCUGUGUGAGGAGGUGAGAGAGAUCUGCAGUCUGCAGCAGCGACAGCCCUUCACACUCAAAUGGAUCGACGACGAAGGUGACCCGUGCACUAUUUCAUCCCAGAUGGAGCUGGAAGAGGCGUUCCGACUGUAUGGCCGUAGCAGGAAGUCCGGACUCCUUCUUCACGUCUUCCCCAGUAUCCCGGAGAAGCCAGGCCUGCCUUGUCCAGGAGAGGACAAAUCCAUUUAUCGGCGCGGGGCCAGAAGAUGGCGCAAGCUCUACCGCGUCAACGGACAUCUCUUCCAGGCCAAACGCUUUAACAGGGUGAGUGAGUUUGUGUGUGUGUGUGUGUGUGUGUGUGUGUGUGUGUGAGAGAGAGAGAGAGAUGGGGUAGGAGCUGGAGUGGCUGAGCUGUAACACUUCAGUAGACAUAUUUUCUAGGGCAAGUAC
Clupea harengus (Atlantic herring) is the source of this 568-nucleotide long non-coding RNA. RefSeq lists it as uncharacterized. The record is from RefSeq and is a predicted model, not a curated record. NCBI's taxonomy places the organism in Eukaryota, Metazoa, Chordata, Actinopteri, Clupeiformes, Clupeidae. The transcript is spliced from 4 exons.